UGUCUACUAAUUAUAGACCUGUAUGAACGGCAAAAUGAGGGCUUAACUGUCUCUUAUAAUAAAUCAAUUAAACUGAUCUCCUAGUAAAAAAGCUAGGAUACAAACAUAAGACCAGAAGACCCUGUGAAGCUUAAACUAAACUAUUAAAUCACAUAAUAGAUACUUUCGGUUGGGGCGACCUUGGAAACAAAAAGAACUUCCAAAUCAAAGACAUUCAAUCUACUAACCAGGCCAACAAGCCAAAAAAGACCCAGCAUUGCUGAUAAUUGAACCAAGUUACUCCAGGGAUAACAGCGCUAUCUUCUUCAAGAGCCCAUAUCAAAAAGAAGGUUUACGACCUCGAUGUUGGAUCAGGACAUCCUAAUGGUGCA
RNAcentral lists this ribosomal RNA (371 nucleotides) under Grayia ornata. RNAcentral's name for it is "partial 16S ribosomal RNA". It matches the Rfam family "Bacterial large subunit ribosomal RNA", at positions 1970 to 2557 of the family's 2925-position model. Lineage: Eukaryota; Metazoa; Chordata; Lepidosauria; Squamata; Grayiidae. The record is from RNAcentral.